Long non-coding RNA from Prosopis cineraria, 852 nucleotides. RefSeq lists it as uncharacterized. The transcript is spliced from 3 exons. The record is from RefSeq and is a predicted model, not a curated record. Lineage: Eukaryota; Viridiplantae; Streptophyta; Magnoliopsida; Fabales; Fabaceae.
UUCGUUUUUCAUUAGUCCGUCAGAAUCAGAAAUAGCGGAUAGAGACGCGAGAGAGAGUGAGAUCCAGAUUUGAGCCUUCAUUCUCCUCCUUGCUUGGCUUUCCUCCUUCGCUGGUGAGUGGUGUGUCAUCUUCCGCCGCUACAAGUUGUCCCGACGAAGUGAUUAUCGGCCUUCUCCCCUAUUGUGUCAGCUAAGAAACUGCCCUUGUUGACGGUGGGUGUCGGAUCCUUCUCCCUCCUCUGUUCUUAGUGUCACCGGCGUGGGUGGCAAGGAUUCGACUUGCCACCACCUUCCUCUACUAUGCUUCACUUCGUUCAGGUUUUUCUGCCGUCUCCUUCUGCUCUUCUUCCCUGACCGCUGUAGCAGAUCAAAGACCGUUCCUCUUUUCCUCACCGGCAUCGAUUGCGUGGGGUAGAGCUGAUCCUUUCUUCUAUCCAUGCACUGUUGUUGGUAUUGCCAUCGAGUCCCUCAUUCAUCGUCUUCCUCUGUUUCAAGUGUUUGUAAGAUGGGCAGCUCGAUUGGAGUAUAAGAAGUGAGUUUGAGCUUUGAAUGUAUUACAGGACGUUAUUCACUGGAAAGUAUUUUAUUUGGCCUCAGAUACCAUAGCUGAUUUCAUACUCAUUGCUGAUCUCUGAUGAGCUUGUUGCUGAAUUGAUUAGAAGAUUACUUUUGAGAAUAUCAUCUUAUUCAUGUAAAAUUUGAAAACUUAUGUAGGAUCUUUUGGAAGUUUGAUUUAGAGUGCUCCACAUCAACUAUAGUUAGGGUCUUGAUUUUUUUUAUGUUAAUUACUUGAUGUUGUGAGAAACAAAGCUCUAUUGUUGGAUAUAUGAUGUAAACUUUUUGGUGUAGAAA